AACGAACGCUGGCGGCAGGCCUAACACAUGCAAGUCGAACGCCCUAGCAAUAGGGAGUGGCAGACGGGUGAGUAACGCGUGGGAACCUACCUAUUGGUACGGAAUAACUCGGGGAAACCCGUGCUAAUACCGUAUAAGCCCGAGAGGGGAAAGAUUUAUCGCCAAUAGAUGGGCCCGCGUCGGAUUAGCUAGUUGGUGAGGUAAUGGCUCAC
Molecule: ribosomal RNA, 212 nt
Filed under: uncultured bacterium
Lineage: Bacteria
Description: partial 16S ribosomal RNA
Rfam family: Bacterial small subunit ribosomal RNA
Source: RNAcentral